RNAcentral lists this ribosomal RNA (429 nucleotides) under Chloroflexota bacterium. Its description in RNAcentral is "Chloroflexi bacterium partial 16S ribosomal RNA". It matches the Rfam family "Bacterial small subunit ribosomal RNA", at positions 355 to 776 of the family's 1533-position model. The record is from RNAcentral. Lineage: Bacteria; Bacillati; Chloroflexota.
UGGGGAAUAUUGCACAAUGGGCGCAAGCCUGAUGCAGCCAUGCCGCGUGUAUGAAGAAGGCCUUCGGGUUGUAAAGUACUUUCAGUCGGGAGGAAGGUGGUAAGGUUAAUAACCUCAUCAAUUGACGUUACCGACAGAAGAAGCACCGGCUAACUCCGUGCCAGCAGCCGCGGUAAUACGGAGGGUGCAAGCGUUAAUCGGAAUUACUGGGCGUAAAGCGCACGCAGGCGGUUGAUUGAGUCAGAUGUGAAAUCCCCGGGCUUAACCCGGGAAUUGCAUCUGAUACUGGUCAGCUAGAGUCUUGUAGAGGGGGGUAGAAUUCCAUGUGUAGCGGUGAAAUGCGUAGAGAUGUGGAGGAAUACCGGUGGCGAAGGCGGCCCCCUGGACAAAGACUGACGCUCAGGUGCGAAAGCGUGGGGAGCAAACAGG